CCAAAUUGAACAGCUGCAACAAAAUGAUGACAAGAGUAAUUAGCGACAAAAUCAUUUAUCUUUACAUUCUUAUACACUUAAUUCUCACUUCUUUAUUUUCGCAGGUUAAACCUCUCAAUCUCACGUUACGUUACAAUAUUUACUGAAUAUGUCCAUUUCCCUACUGUCUCCCCAAACCCUCUUACGUGGUCGUUGAAACUUGUCCAGCUCACCCAUAGGUGCCCGCGUAGAUAACUAAAUUAGAAAAAGAAAUAAAAAAAACUCAUAAAUGAAAACGAAAAUAAAUUAAAUUAUAACAAAAAAAAAAAAGGCAAAUGGGUUUGAAUGCAGCUGUCUAGUAUAGGCAAGUGUCCGUGGUUCAAAAAGUAAACAUGUAGCAAAAAAAAAAAUUAUGUACUGCGAAGAGGAAGAAGAAGCAGAGAAAGUCGAGAAAGAGGAAGAAGAAACCAGGAGACGAAUAAAUGACAAAAAGAGGAAGAAGAAGCACGAGACGCGAAGAAAUGGCAUUUCAGAAACGCGGUGAAGACAAGGCUCCUCCUGACUACGGACUGAAGUUGACCUAUUCAAUGUGAAGUUAUACCAUGGACGUAUUUGGUUUACUCCUUUUGGAAACAAGCGAUAUGAAGGAGGGUAUGUUGCCUAUUUUGAUAAUUGUGAGUUUAAGAAGUUUAAGAAGAAGGAUUUAGAUGGUAUGGGUCGAGGGUUAGGUUACAAAUUGCCCUUUGGUUUUCGGUUCAAGCCUUAUGGGAAACACUUGAAUAUGGAGAUAAUGGUUGUUGGGGAGAAGGAGGUUAGACUGUUUUUGGAUGACAUGAGAGAUUGAAGUUAUAGGGAGGUUCAAAUAUAUAUGGUGUUACCAGAUCCUCUAUUUGCUGCGGAGUGGAAAGAUGAUGACACAGCUAUAAGACAUAUCCCUAAAGCAGGUCUUGAAAAAUUGAAUUUGGGUUGCUGCCUCGAGGAAGUGGAGUCUGAUCUCCUUGCUGAUGUUGUUGUCGAUCCACCUGGACAAAUGAACCAAGAUGAUUACUUUUUACAACUUGUUUGUAAAAUGGGUGAUUUUCUUGCUCAAGUGGAUGAUGAAGAAGUUCAUUCUUCCAAUGGCAAUGAAGAAAAUUCAGGGCAAGAUGAUGAUGAAACGGAAGUGUUUGUAAUGAAUAUCCCAUAUGACUUUGAGGGCAUGGAGUAUGAUGGGGAAGCCUAUAUGGAUUACUCUGAAGAAGACUCCAUGGAUUACUCUGAAGAAGAAAUAAUUGAAACCAAUGAUGAUGAGCCAUAAACAGCCAAUGAAGGCCCAACAAAUGUCCCAAAAAGCACAAAAUUUGAGGGUUCAAUGGCUAAGGAAGUCUCAGCUAAACCUCAAUCUCCCGAUGUAGUUGUAGGUGGAGAUGAACCAACAAUUUCUGAGGAAACUCCAAGGAGUAAAGACUGGGACUAAGAAGGAUGAAGAAGGCAUUUGUUGCUGUAGAAGUUCAACCAGAAACUCCUCCUCAAGGUGAAGAAAUUCAGCCAAAUCUCGAACUAGAAACUCAAGCAUUUUCUCAACCAGAAAAUGCUAGCCAACCGCAACCUCAGACUGUGCCACAAAAUGAAACUGAAGCUGAUCCACAAGGUACCACACAAACUCAAACAACCCCAAAUGUUGAGUUUGAUUUGCAUGAGGAGGAGUAUGAUGGGCAACCUGAAGAAGGCAUGCGUAUGUCCCAAAAUAUCCAAGCACUUGGUGGGGGAGUAUUACAGAGCUAUGUGUUGAGACAAAUGUUGCUGAUAAUGAUCAUGGAAUUGAAUUAGAUGCUGAUCUGGCAAGUGUACAUAGUGAUGAUGAUCAAGGUACUCCAAAGUGACCUCCAAAGCAUAAUAUAAUCCAAAAACAAAGGUAUCUAAUUUCAAAUUCACUCAGGGGAUAAAAAUUAGGAAUGUGCAGUUGCUU
Molecule: RNA transcript, 1927 nt
Organism: Humulus lupulus (European hop)
Lineage: Eukaryota; Viridiplantae; Streptophyta; Magnoliopsida; Rosales; Cannabaceae
Exons: 3
Source: RefSeq, a predicted model, not a curated record